UUCCGGUUGAUCCUGCCGCCGGCUACUGCUAUCAAGUUCCGACUAAGCCAUGCGAGUCAAAGGGUCGCAAGACACUGGCGUACUGCUCAGUAACACGCGGACAAUCUACCCCCAGGUGGGGGAUAACCUCGGGAAACUGAGGCUAAUACCCCAUAGUUGCCAUAUGCUGGAAUGCUUUGGCGAUGAAAGAUUUUUUGCCUGAGGAUGAGUCUGUGGCCUAUCAGGUAGUAUGUGGUGUAAAGGACCACAUAGCCUAAGACGGGUACGGGCCUUGAAAGAGGGAGCCCGGAGAUGGACUCUGAGACACUAGUCCAGGCCCUACGGGGCGCAGCAGGCGCGAAAACUGUGCAAUGCGCGAAAGCGCGACACGGGAAGCCUGAGUGCCUUAACUUUUUGUUAAGGCUUUUCACAAGCCUAAAAAGCUUGUGGAAUAAGAGCUGGGUAAGACGGGUGCCAGCCGCCGCGGUAACACCCGCGGCUCUAGUGGUAGUCACUUUUAUUGAGCCUAAAGCGUUCGUAGCCGGAUUCGUAAAUCUCUAGGAAAAUACUUCUGCCUAACAGAAGAAACUCUGGAGAGACUGCGGAUCUAGGGACCGGGUGAGGUUGAAUGUACUUCUGGGGUAGGGGUAAAAUCCUGUAAUCCUGGAAGGACGACCGGUGGCGAAGGCGUUCAACUAGAACGGAUCUGACGGUGAGGAACGAAGGCUAGGGGAGCAAACCGGAUUAGAUACCCGGGUAGUCCUAGCUGUAAACACUGCCCACUUGGUGUUGCAUCUCCGGUAAGGGGGUGCAGUGCCGGAGCGAAGGUGUUAAGUGGGCCGCUUGGGGAGUAUGGUCGCAAGGCUGAAACUUAAAGGAAUUGGCGGGGGAGCACCGCAACGGGAGGAGCGUGCGGUUUAAUUGGAUUCAACGCCGGAA
This 918-nucleotide ribosomal RNA is filed under the name uncultured archaeon. Its description in RNAcentral is "bacterial SSU rRNA". It matches the Rfam family "Archaeal small subunit ribosomal RNA", at positions 1 to 923 of the family's 1478-position model. The record is from RNAcentral.